GGGGCUGUUUUGGUUUUGACAUUUGAAUGAAUUACUUCAUGAAUCAGGUCGAAGCAUGUAUUCUUCGUUAAAAACUUACAUAUUUUAUAAUAAUUGCUAAAACUAUAAUUUUAUCGUUUUUUACUUUUGUAAAUUCUAUUUUUAAAAUUAAUCAGUUAAAUUUAGUUAAAUUUGCUGUUUAAUUAUUAUUUUUUUUCUAUUGUUUCACUGGAAAUUAACAUUAAGUGGGUUUCUAGUUUAGAAUAUUCUAAUGAUCAAUUUUGUUCUUCCGAACUAUGCCUGUGAGUAAGUGUAGUAAAAUAGUUUAAAAUGGACGUGGGUUCGAUUCCCAUCAGCUCCA
Molecule: non-coding RNA, 340 nt
Organism: Nitzschia inconspicua
Lineage: Eukaryota; Bacillariophyta; Bacillariophyceae; Bacillariales; Bacillariaceae
Source: the annotation of a GenBank genome assembly